AUUGAACGCUGGCGGCAUGCCUUACACAUGCAAGUCGAACGGCAGCACGGGAGCAAUCCUGGUGGCGAGUGGCGAACGGGUGAGUAAAGUAUCGGAACGUGCCCAGUCGUGGGGGAUAACGUAGCGAAAGUUACGCUAAUACCGCAUACGAUCUAUGGAUGAAAGCGGGGGAUCGCAAGACCUCGCGCGAGAGGAGCGGCCGAUGUCCGAUUAGCUAGUUGGCGGGGUAACGGCCCACCAAGGCGACGAUCGGUAGCUGGUCUGAGAGGACGACCAGCCACACUGGGACUGAGACACGGCCCAGACUCCUACGGGAGGCAGCAGUGGGGAAUUUUGGACAAUGGGCGCAAGCCUGAUCCAGCCAUGCCGCGUGUGUGAAGAAGGCCUUCGGGUUGUAAAGCACUUUCGGGCGGAACGAAAUCGCGCGGAUGAACAAUCCGCGUGGAUGACGGUACCGCAAGAAGAAGCACCGGCUAACUACGUGCCAGCCGCCGCCGUAA
RNAcentral lists this ribosomal RNA (500 nucleotides) under uncultured bacterium. RNAcentral describes it as "partial 16S ribosomal RNA". It matches the Rfam family "Bacterial small subunit ribosomal RNA", at positions 29 to 523 of the family's 1533-position model. The record is from RNAcentral.